Molecule: transfer RNA, 73 nt
Filed under: Salmo salar (Atlantic salmon)
Lineage: Eukaryota; Metazoa; Chordata; Actinopteri; Salmoniformes; Salmonidae
Rfam family: tRNA
About the family: Transfer RNA (tRNA) molecules are approximately 80 nucleotides in length. Their secondary structure includes four short double-helical elements and three loops (D, anti-codon, and T loops). Further hydrogen bonds mediate the characteristic L-shaped molecular structure. tRNAs have two regions of fundamental functional importance: the anti-codon, which is responsible for specific mRNA codon recognition, and the 3' end, to which the tRNAs corresponding amino acid is attached (by aminoacyl-tRNA synthetases). tRNAs cope with the degeneracy of the genetic code in two manners: having more than one tRNA (with a specific anti-codon) for a particular amino acid; and 'wobble' base-pairing, i.e. permitting non-standard base-pairing at the 3rd anti-codon position.
Source: Rfam by way of RNAcentral
GUCCCUGUAGCUCAGUUGGUAGAGCAUGGUGUUUGCAACACCAGGGUUGUGGGUUCGUUUCCCACGGGGGGCC